CUAAUAAUAAUAAUACUAAUAAUAAAAAAAUGCUUUUUACUCGAUGUAUCAAUGUCCACAGAUUACAGCGUUUCUCUAAAAGAAACGGAGAAACUUUCAAAAUACAAACAUCUGGAAAUAGUGGUAACUCGAAUGUGGCGCCUAAAAACAGAAAGAAUUUGAAUUAUAGAAGAUGCAUUAGGUAUAUAUAA
Long non-coding RNA from Octopus sinensis (East Asian common octopus), 191 nucleotides. RefSeq lists it as uncharacterized. The transcript is spliced from 2 exons. NCBI's taxonomy places the organism in Eukaryota, Metazoa, Mollusca, Cephalopoda, Octopoda, Octopodidae. The record is from RefSeq and is a predicted model, not a curated record.